GGAGGCAGCAGUGGGGAAUCUUGCACAAUGGGCGCAAGCCUGAUGCAGCAACGCCGCGUGCGGGAAGAAGGCCCUAGGGUUGUAAACCGCUUUCAGUAGGGAAGAAAAUGACGGUACCUACAGAAGAAGGUGCGGCCAACUACGUGCCAGCAGCCGCGGUGACACGUAGGCACCAAGCGUUAUCCGGAUUUAUUGGGCGUAAAGAGCUCGUAGGCGGUUCAGUAAGUCGGGUGUGAAAACUCUGGGCUCAACCCAGAGAGGCCACCCGAUACUGCUGUGACUAGAGUACGGUAGGGGAGCGGGGAAUUCCUGGUGUAGCGGUGAAAUGCGCAGAUAUCAGGAGGAACACCAGCGGCGAAGGCGCCGCUCUGGGCCGUAACUGACGCUGAGGAGCGAAAGCAUGGGUAGCAAACAGGAUUAGAUACCCUGGUAGUCCAUGCCGUAAACGUUGGGCACUAGGUGUGGGUCUCAACCAACGAGAUCCGCGCCGUCGCUAACGCAUUAAGUGC
This 509-nucleotide ribosomal RNA is filed under the name uncultured bacterium. RNAcentral's name for it is "bacterial SSU rRNA". It matches the Rfam family "Bacterial small subunit ribosomal RNA", at positions 344 to 867 of the family's 1533-position model. The record is from RNAcentral.